Cricetulus griseus (Chinese hamster) is the source of this 585-nucleotide non-coding RNA. The record is from RefSeq and is a predicted model, not a curated record. NCBI's taxonomy places the organism in Eukaryota, Metazoa, Chordata, Mammalia, Rodentia, Cricetidae.
GGCGGGGCCCCGCCGCGCGCCCCCGGGGCCGCCCCCGCUCAGCGAGCUGAGCCGGCACACGCGGAAACGCAGCUGUACAGACCCACGGCUAGGAAGGCGUGCGCACACCACACGCAGUUACACCCAGACCCGGUGAGUUAGGGAGCCAUGCUGUGGACACAUGCUCUGCUGGGAUCUUGAGUGUGCUUUGAAGAUGAAGAAAGUCCAGCCAAUGGCCUCAGGAUGCUCCUGGCCCAGAGCUGGUGUGGGGGAGAAGCAGGAUAAGCACAUCAGCAGAAAUACUUUGACCUUGAAGAGUCCUUGUGGAAAACUGGUUAUUUUGCUGAAGAGGCAUUGUAGCUAUCCUAUGACUUUGGCACACCCGAGGCUCUUGUAUUAUUGAGUAUUUCAAACAAUACAUAAUAAAGGACUGGAGUCAGGGGGCAAGCCAUGCUCUCCUUUGGUAAAACAUGUAAACUAGAUUAGGGACCUUGGUAUGAGGAAAUACUUUGUGUAACAAUCAAUAAAUACACCUUUGUAGGACUGUUGGGGUUCAGUUCAUCAGAGAGGCUGAAUCUGCCUGCUGCCACAGGCCUUAAAAUUUCA